Molecule: long non-coding RNA, 2223 nt
Organism: Lolium rigidum
Lineage: Eukaryota; Viridiplantae; Streptophyta; Magnoliopsida; Poales; Poaceae
Exons: 9
Source: RefSeq, a predicted model, not a curated record
GUUGGUCGUCUGCCCCGGCUGCUGCUGCCGGCGUCUUCCGGCGACCGAAGCCCUCGAGGUUGUACUGCCGACCACCACUACAUGUUGCUGCCGCCCCCUCAGGAAUGACCAACGGGAAGAUGGGAGGAGAGAUGAAGAAGAAAUGGACCUCCUAUUAUGCUCGAUGCUCUUUUCCUCUCAGCAAAGAAACAAUCUAACCCCUUUGUGAAUGCAUCCAUUGUUUGACUGUUCAUCUCUAUUGAAAAUCCCUUUCUUGUUGUGGAAAUACUUGCCAAUCUAACACACUUCAAUUCGAAUUUCAACAACCAGCUGGAGGAGGAUGUUAGUGCUCUGAGUACUAGUUGUAGUUUACUGCGGAGGUUCAGGUUUUUAGGAGACGACCUAUAGCCCAGAAAGCCAUCAGCUGAGCCUGAUGUCUAAACUAGUUGUUCUACCUAUGUUUUCAGUUUAAUGCUAUAGUACUUAUCAUCCAAGCUCAGUGCUUCCUGACAAAGUCAGUGAGAGUAAUUUCAUAUCCUGCUGUUUUCCUUUUUUACAAAUACCCAAACUUGUAAAAACCAGAACUAAUUCAUAUAAAAUCAGAAAAAUGCAAAUAAGAUAGAAGAUUGUUCUAAAAAAUAAAAUCUAUCUGUGUAUACAAAAUUCAUGCAUUUUUUUGAAUCAAUUACAAAACGGUCUUAAUAAGAGAACAGUUCGAGCACUCUUUAAAUUUGGGGUUUAUUGGAAUACUACGUCUUGAGCAUUUCAACUCCAUUUAAUUUGGUGAUCAUAGGAAUAAUAUGUCAUUGCUUUGACAUUAAUUGUGGUUAAUUUGUGAAUCCAGGAACAAGGGAGGCACCCUUGCAUGCUUUGCCAUAAGGAAGUCGAAAAGAAUAAAGAUUGAAAAAUGAAGCUCCUGCAUUGGCUCUCUGCUUUGUUGGCUACCUAUCUGGCUGCUAAGUCUUCGACUCCAUCGGCACCAUGGACAUAACUACUAUUGUAACAUGUGGUUUGCAAGUGAAGCUGCUUGCAAUUAUAUGUGGAGCAGCUGACAGAUGAAUCAUACCUGUACAUACAUUGGUGUCUAUAUAUCUUGACAUGAGGGUGGAUCAAGAUAAGACAUUGGAAGAAAUAAUUAAAGAAGAAGCAAGAACAUCACAAUCAACUGGCUGUUCAGUGAACGGUACAGUUGAGAGAUAGGAAGAGGCGGAAGAUGACACGAUGAUAAGGUGCCUUGACAAACAACAUUGUUCAAAUGCUGAUGAUGCCAGCAACAAUCUAUCAACGUUGCACGAUGAUCUCGAAUAUGUUAGCUUAUUUUCGAAGAACGAUAAAUAUGUCCCUCUCUUCAGUUUGGAGGAACACCCUAGAUAUUGUAGAGAAGAGGAAUUCCUUGCGUAAGCAGAUCACGGAGAAUAUCAUUGUUGCUGCUGCAAAUUGAAAGGACUUAGAAGAGACAGUAAGUGAUGAUGAUAAGUUCAGGGUAUGAAGUUGCAGACGAUGAGCUGACCAACAAAAGUGCAAAGGCCUGAGGAAGAUACUCGACGAGGGGAAGGAGCAUCUUAAUGAAUAGCAAAGGGUCGUGUGGGUACAUUGAAUCCCGCCUGCCGGAUGGCAUCAAGCAUGCGACAAUGUUGAGCCAGGGUGGAUGUGAGGAAGCUGACAACAAAAAAGAUGCAGGGGUUCCAAAGACUGCUGCCGGGACUGCCUGCGAGACUACGGGGACAAGCUGAAGAAUCAGAUACACGAGUUGGGCGAGAACCUUACCUUGAUCGAGUCAGCGGCGUCCAAGGGCGCUGGCAAUGAAUUUAUUUUCCUCGUAGACCGGUGAUCCUGGAUUUGAACUUUAAGCGCCUUCGGCUGAUGUAUUCUUGCAUUUACUUUCUGUUCAUAGCUAGCUGCUGUUGGCUUCCUCAUGUUGAAGCUUGUGGUGAAGUCUGGUUUGCUGGCAUGCAUUUCCUGGGUGUCUCCUUCAUUAUGACCAUAUUUUGUAUUCAGGGUGUUAGACCUGGUGUUCGCUAUGUCGUGCCUGUUGUGCAUAUGCAUUUAUGGGCACCGAGUAGAAGGAAAAUAUAUGUAGAUGCUUGUAUAUAGAGAAAUAUUUGUAUGUGAGGUUUCACAGCUGCCUAAACUCCUGCGAUGUCGCUCACAUUGGCAUGUAAUAUCUUCAUUGGAUUCCGCUACAGAUCAGCUGGAAUUUCAUGUAAUUUUCCAUCGAACUAUAUUUGUUGUUGAAUGUUAGAA